AACGAGUAGAAAUGAGUCUUAGAAAGCUGAUAAAAGACACCCAGAAGAAGACAAAUCGUAACUUCUUACUUUUUGAAAUACUUUAAGCAAGACGAUACUUAUUCUAUUGUGAAAGCAAACUGUGUAGAAGUUGAGCAGCUGGAAGCUGGUACCUCCUGCAGAGUAAGGGAUGGAAAGGACUUUCAUGAUGGCACAAUAGUCACCUUUGGAGAUAAGAAAGAUGUAAGUAAUGCAGCAGGUGAUAUUAUUGAGAAGAUUGAGAAAGAGUCAGCGGAGAAUUUGGAGAAAGAGUCAGCCAAGAAUAUGGAGAAACAGUCAGCUGAGAGUAUGAAGAAUGAGUCAGACUACAAAGCGUGGCACAAUAAAAAGGAAAGCUAAGAAAAGUACCACCGAAUAAAGAAACCUAAAAUAGAAAAAGGAAAGGAAGGUGAAGAAAUGCACAGUUAAUAUUGUUGCUGUUGGUUGUGCUACAAAUAAUGAAUCUGCUGCAAAUAAUGAAGCAACAAGCUUCAACACUGGAGAUCCUUCUAAGCAUAUUAGUAUCGAAGCAAGAAAACCUUCAGAGAGAAAAGAGGCAGAUUCCAGUGAAAGAAUUCUUUGUCAUAGCCCUCCACCACUUCCACCACCACUUGCACUGGUGGAGCUUAAAACUCAAGCUGCAUGUAGUACUGAAACAGAGGUUAUAUACUGUCUCUAAUUAGAAGAAUGGAAAUUUUAGAAGAACAGAGUAUCAUGGUGCCAUCCCAAUUGGGUUGCUUAACAUACCAUUUCUUUGGAAAUACUAGCAUGAACACAAGGGCAGGUACUCUGCUACAUACAUGAACAGUAAUGGAAGUACUCCUAGUGCCCCAUCUGCUUGUAACCUACCUCAGCAUACAGAUCCAGUAACUCCAACUAAUGAGCCAGUAAAGGCAAUCAUCACCAAUACUACUGUGCACACUGGUAAUAGAAGGAAAAUAGAUUUUAAUGCUCCUUUGUUGAAUCCUGAUAUUGUGAUUAAUAAAUAUCCCAAACUAAAGACACUCUCUCAAGUUGGACAAUCAUUUGUAAGACUA
RNAcentral lists this unclassified non-coding RNA (1055 nucleotides) under Amphimedon queenslandica. Its description in RNAcentral is "uncharacterized LOC109582126, transcript variant X4". Lineage: Eukaryota; Metazoa; Porifera; Demospongiae; Haplosclerida; Niphatidae. The record is from RNAcentral.